RNAcentral lists this ribosomal RNA (497 nucleotides) under uncultured bacterium. Its description in RNAcentral is "partial 16S ribosomal RNA". It matches the Rfam family "Bacterial small subunit ribosomal RNA", at positions 28 to 507 of the family's 1533-position model. The record is from RNAcentral.
GAUGAACGCUGGCGGCGUGCCUAAUACAUGCAAGUCGAGCGAACAGAUGAGGAGCUUGCUCCUCUGGCGUUAGCGGCGGACGGGUGAGUAACACGUGGAUAACCUACCUAUAAGACUGGGAUAACUUCGGGAAACCGGAGCUAAUACCGGAUAAUAUAUUGAACCGCAUGGUUCAAUAGUGAAAGACGGUUUUGCUGUCACUUAUAGAUGGAUCCGCGCCGCAUUAGCUAGUUGGUAAGGUAACGGCUUACCAAGGCAACGAUGCGUAGCCGACCUGAGAGGGUGAUCGGCCACACUGGAACUGAGACACGGUCCAGACUCCUACGGGAGGCAGCAGUAGGGAAUCUUCCGCAAUGGGCGAAAGCCUGACGGAGCAACGCCGCGUGAGUGAUGAAGGUCUUCGGAUCGUAAAACUCUGUUAUUUGGGAAGAACAAAUGUGUAAGUAACUAUGCACGUCUUGACGGUACCUAAUCAGAAAGCCACGGCUAACUACGUG